GAUGAACGCUGGCGGCGUGCCUAAUACAUGCAAGUCGAGCGAACGGACGAGAAGCUUGCUUCUCUGAUGUUAGCGGCGGACGGGUGAGUAACACGUGGAUAACCUACCUAUAAGACUGGGAUAACUUCGGGAAACCGGAGCUAAUACCGGAUAAUAUUUUGAACCGCAUGGUUCAAAAGUGAAAGACGGUCUUGCUGUCUCUUAUAGAUGGAUCCGCGCUGCAUUAGCUAGUUGGUAAGGUAACGGCUUACCAAGGCAACGAUGCAUAGCCGACCUGAGAGGGUGAUCGGCCACACUGGAACUGAGACACGGUCCAGACUCCUACGGGAGGCAGCAGUAGGGAAUCUUCCGCAAUGGGCGAAAGCCUGACGGAGCAACGCCGCGUGAGUGAUGAAGGUCUUCGGAUCGUAAAACUCUGUUAUUAGGGAAGAACAUAUGUGUAAGUAACUGUGCACAUCUUGACGGUACCUAAUCAGAAAGCCACGGCUAGCUACGUG
Molecule: ribosomal RNA, 497 nt
Filed under: uncultured bacterium
Lineage: Bacteria
Description: partial 16S ribosomal RNA
Rfam family: Bacterial small subunit ribosomal RNA
Source: RNAcentral